UACGUAGGGUGCGAGCGUUGUCCGGAAUUAUUGGGCGUAAAGGGCUCGUAGGCGGUCUGUCACGUCGGGAGUGAAAACACGGGGCUUAACCCCGUGCCUGCUUCCGAUACGGGCAGACUAGAGGUAUGCAGGGGGGAACGGAAUUCCUGGUGUAGCGGUGAAAUGCGCAGAUAUCAGGAGGAACACCGGUGGCGAAGGCGGUUCUCUGGGCAUUACCUGACGCUGAGGAGCGAAAGUGUGGGGAGCGAACAGG
Molecule: ribosomal RNA, 253 nt
Filed under: uncultured bacterium
Lineage: Bacteria
Description: partial 16S ribosomal RNA
Rfam family: Bacterial small subunit ribosomal RNA
Source: RNAcentral